GCUGGGCGUGGUGGCGCGUACCUGUAAUCCCAGCUACUCGGGAGGCUGAGGCAGGAGAAUCACUUGAACCCAGGAGGCAGAGGUCGCAGUGAGCCCAGAUCGCACCACUGCACUUCAGCCUGGGUAAUAAGAGCGAGACCCUGCCUCAA
Molecule: non-coding RNA, 149 nt
Filed under: Nomascus leucogenys (northern white-cheeked gibbon)
Lineage: Eukaryota; Metazoa; Chordata; Mammalia; Primates; Hylobatidae
Source: Rfam by way of RNAcentral